RNAcentral lists this ribosomal RNA (300 nucleotides) under uncultured Azospirillum sp. RNAcentral's name for it is "bacterial SSU rRNA". The stretch from base 52 to 300 matches the Rfam family "Bacterial small subunit ribosomal RNA", at positions 547 to 795 of the family's 1533-position model. The record is from RNAcentral. Lineage: Bacteria; Pseudomonadati; Pseudomonadota; Alphaproteobacteria; Rhodospirillales; Azospirillaceae.
GUUACGUACGGGAGGGUAGGAGGGUGAGACGGUAGGGGGCGGGGGUUGGCUGGAAUGAUGGGGAUUAAAGAGCUGGUAGGCGGUAUGUGGGGUCUGCUGGUAAAAGCCGUGGCUCAAGCCCGGACGUGCAGUGGGUACGGGCAGACUAGAGUAUGGUAGGGGAGACUGGAAUUCCUGGUGUAGCGGUGAAAUGCGCAGAUAUCAGGAGGAACACCGAUGGCGAAGGCAGGUCUCUGGGCCACUACUGACGCUGAGAAGCGAAAGCAUGGGGAGCGAACAGGAUUAGAUACCCUUGUAGUC